ACGGGAGGCAGCAGUGAGGAAUAUUGGUCAAUGGGCGAGAGCCUGAACCAGCCAAGUAGCGUGAGGGAUGACUGCCCUAUGGGUUGUAAACCUCUUUUGUUCGGGAAUAAAUGAGCCUACGUGUAGGCUUUUGCAUGUACCGUUCGAAUAAGCAUCGGCUAAUUCCGUGCCAGCAGCCGCGGUAAUACGGAAGAUGCGAGCGUUAUCCGGAUUUAUUGGGUUUAAAGGGAGCGUAGGCGGCCUUUUAAGUCAGCGGUGAAAUGUCAGCGCCCAACGCUGUCCUGCCGUUGAUACUGGAGGGCUUGAAUACACGCAAGGAUGGUGGAAUUCGUCGUGUAGCGGUGAAAUGCUUAGAUAUGACGAAGAACUCCGAUUGCGAAGGCAGCCAUCUGGAGAGCGAUUGACGCUGAGGCUCGAAAGCGCGGGUAUCAAACAGGAUUAGAUACCCUGGUA
This 453-nucleotide ribosomal RNA is filed under the name uncultured Paraprevotella sp. RNAcentral describes it as "partial 16S ribosomal RNA". It matches the Rfam family "Bacterial small subunit ribosomal RNA", at positions 341 to 792 of the family's 1533-position model. The record is from RNAcentral. Lineage: Bacteria; Pseudomonadati; Bacteroidota; Bacteroidia; Bacteroidales; Prevotellaceae.